UGGGGAAUAUUGGACAAUGGGCGGAAGCCUGAUCCAGCAACGCCGCGUGAGGGAUGACGGCCUUCGGGUUGUAAACCUCUUUCAGCGGGGACGAAGCGCCGAUGAUGGUGGUGACGGUACCCGCAGAAGAAGCACCGGCCAACUACGUGCCAGCAGCCGCGGUAAUACGUAGGGUGCGAGCGUUGUCCGGAAUUAUUGGGCGUAAAGGGCUCGUAGGCGGUUUGUCGCGUCGGGAGUGAAAACGCCGGGCUUAACUCGGUGCUUGCUUUCGAUACGGGCAGACUAGAGGCAUGCAGGGGAGAACGGAAUUCCUGGUGUAGCGGUGAAAUGCGCAGAUAUCAGGAGGAACACCGGUGGCGAAGGCGGUUCUCUGGGCCUGUACUGACGCUGAGGAGCGAAAGCGUGGGGAGCGAA
Molecule: ribosomal RNA, 414 nt
Filed under: uncultured bacterium
Lineage: Bacteria
Description: bacterial SSU rRNA
Rfam family: Bacterial small subunit ribosomal RNA
Source: RNAcentral